CAAUUUAAGCAGGUCGACCACACCUGCAGAUAGUUAUGAUUGCAGGUGAGGUGUCUKUGUGAAAAGAGACCCACAUACUCGCACGUAAUGUGUUACAGUGGCAGGUCGGUUACCUGUGUUAUCAAAUAUGGUUUUUUUUACAGUUAACUUUGCAGCCAUCUCAGUUGGGGUAUCAGUCGGUGUGGCUCUUAUUGGCUCCAUUGUGUUCAUAUUCUGUAAAAGAAAAGGCUCUCACAAAACAUUACCCCAGAGCAMCAAUCCAGAUGAAAACCCUGCAGCUGAUUCUCCAACAACGACCUACAGUUUGGUGCAGAUCUCCAAACGUCUUGCCCCAGGAGAGGAGAACAGACAUAAAGACAAACCAGAGACAGUGUACGCACAGAUUAACAGAGUACCAAAACCAGACUCUGAAGAUCCUACAGUCAACAGCUGAAAAACAAAUACAGUGGUUUGCAAAAGUAUUCAUACCC
This is a long non-coding RNA of Austrofundulus limnaeus, 470 nucleotides long. RefSeq lists it as uncharacterized. The transcript has 3 exons. The record is from RefSeq and is a predicted model, not a curated record. NCBI's taxonomy places the organism in Eukaryota, Metazoa, Chordata, Actinopteri, Cyprinodontiformes, Rivulidae.